UAGGGAAUCUUCGGCAAUGGACGAAAGUCUGACCGAGCAACGCCGCGUGAGUGAAGAAGGUUUUCGGAUCGUAAAACUCUGUUGUUAGAGAAGAACAAGGACGUUAGUAACUGAACGUCCCCUGACGGUAUCUAACCAGAAAGCCACGGCUAACUACGUGCCAGCAGCCGCGGUAAUACGUAGGUGGCAAGCGUUGUCCGGAUUUAUUGGGCGUAAAGCGAGCGCAGGCGGUUUCUUAAGUCUGAUGUGAAAGCCCCCGGCUCAACCGGGGAGGGUCAUUGGAAACUGGGAGACUUGAGUGCAGAAGAGGAGAGUGGAAUUCCAUGUGUAGCGGUGAAAUGCGUGGAUAUAUGGAGGAACACCAGUGUCGAAGGCGGCUCUCUGGUCUGUAACUGACGCUGAGGCUCGAAAGCGUGGGGAGCAAACAGG
This 429-nucleotide ribosomal RNA is filed under the name Gemmatimonadota bacterium. Its description in RNAcentral is "Gemmatimonadetes bacterium partial 16S ribosomal RNA". It matches the Rfam family "Bacterial small subunit ribosomal RNA", at positions 355 to 776 of the family's 1533-position model. Lineage: Bacteria; Pseudomonadati; Gemmatimonadota. The record is from RNAcentral.